This 527-nucleotide ribosomal RNA is filed under the name uncultured bacterium. RNAcentral's name for it is "bacterial SSU rRNA". It matches the Rfam family "Bacterial small subunit ribosomal RNA", at positions 10 to 518 of the family's 1533-position model. The record is from RNAcentral.
AGUUGAUCAUGGCUCAGAACGAACGCUGGUAGCGUGGAUUAGGCAUGCAAGUCGAACGGGAUCGGCUGGAUAGCAAUAUUCGGCCGUGAGAGUGGCGGAUUGGGGAGGAACACGUGAGCAACUUGCCCACGGGCCGGGGAAAACCGUUGGAAACGACGGCUAAUACCGGAUGUGGCGCCUGGCGACAUCGCCGGAGCGCCAAAGGGGGCCGCAAGGCUCCCGCCCGAGGAUAGGCUCGCGCACCAUCAGCUUGUUGGCGGGUAACGGCCCACCAAGGCUUACGGUUAGCUGGUCUGAGAGGAUGACCAGCCCCACUGGGACUGAGAUACUGCCCAGACUCCUACGGGAGGCUGCAGUCGAGGAUCAUUCGCAAUGGACGGAAGUCUGACGAUGCGACGCUGCGUGGAGGAUGAAGGCCUUCGGGUCGUAAACUCCUGUCAUGGGGGAACAGGCGAGGGGACCCAACACGUCCCUUAGUUGAGUGUACCCCAAGAGGAAGCGACGGCUAACUCUGUGCCAGCCGCCGC